RNAcentral lists this transfer RNA (85 nucleotides) under Mycobacterium lacus. RNAcentral's name for it is "tRNA-Cys". Lineage: Bacteria; Bacillati; Actinomycetota; Actinomycetes; Mycobacteriales; Mycobacteriaceae. The record is from RNAcentral.
CCACCACCCUAGCCGGCGGCGACCUGGCCGGCCUGCAAAGCUGGCUAGCCGACAACGGCUAUUCCAUCCGGCCGGCGGUGGCCCA